AUUGAACGCUGGCGGCAGGCCUAACACAUGCAAGUCGAGCGAGAAAGGUCUUCGGACUGAGUACAGCGGCGGACGGGUGAGUAAAGCGUAGGAAUCUACCUGGUAGUGGGGGAUAACUUGGGGAAACUCAAACUAAUACCGCAUACGCCCUACGGGGGAAAGCGGGGGACCUUCGGGCCUCGCGCUAUCAGAUGAGCCUGCGUAGGAUUAGCUAGUUGGUGAGGUAAAGGCUCACCAAGGCGACGAUCCUUAGCUGGUCUGAGAGGAUGAUCAGCCACACUGGGACUGAGACACGGCCCAGACUCCUACGGGAGGCAGCAGUGGGGAAUAUUGCGCAAUGGGCGAAAGCCUGACGCAGCCAUGCCGCGUGUGUGAAGAAGGCCUUAGGGUUGUAAAGCACUUUCAAUUGGGAAGAAAAGUUGGUCGUUAAUAGCGGCCAGCCCUGACAUUACCUUUAGAAGAAGGACCGGCUAACUCCGUGCCAGCAGCCGCGGUAAAGUCGUACGA
RNAcentral lists this ribosomal RNA (507 nucleotides) under uncultured bacterium. RNAcentral's name for it is "bacterial SSU rRNA". It matches the Rfam family "Bacterial small subunit ribosomal RNA", at positions 30 to 532 of the family's 1533-position model. The record is from RNAcentral.